RNAcentral lists this ribosomal RNA (2313 nucleotides) under Helicobacter saguini. RNAcentral describes it as "partial 23S ribosomal RNA". It matches the Rfam family "Bacterial large subunit ribosomal RNA", at positions 590 to 2925 of the family's 2925-position model. Lineage: Bacteria; Pseudomonadati; Campylobacterota; Epsilonproteobacteria; Campylobacterales; Helicobacteraceae. The record is from RNAcentral.
AGGGUGAUGGACUGCCUUUUGCAUAAUGAUCCUGCGAGUUGUGGUAUCUGGCAAGGUUAAGCAAACGCGAAGCCGUAGCGAAAGCGACUUUUAACGAGGGUUAAGUCAGAUGCUGCAGACCCGAAGCCAAGUGAUCUAUCCAUGACCAAGUUGAAGUAAGUGUAAUAGCUUAUGGAGGACUGAACUCGUACCCAUUGAAACGGGUUGGGAUGAGUUGUGGAUAGGGGUGAAAGGCCAAACAAACUUGGUGAUAGCUGGUUCUCUUCGAAAUAUAUUUAGGUAUAGCCUCAAGUGAUAGUAAUAGGGGGUAGAGCUCUGAUUGGGCUAGGGCUACUCACCGUGGUACCAACCCCUGUCAAACUGCGAAUACCUAUUACCGUAUCUUGGGAGUCAGGCGGUGGGUGAUAAAAUCAAUCGUCAAAAGGGGAACAACCCAGACUACCAACUAAGGUCCCAAAGUUCUAUUCUAAGUGGAAAAUGAUGUGAAGUUACUUAGACAACCAGGAGGUUGGCUUAGAAGCAGCCAUCCUUUAAAGAAAGCGUAACAGCUCACUGGUCUAGUGAUUUUGCGCAGAAAAUAUAACGGGGCUAAGAUAGACACCGAAGUUGUAGAUUAUGCUGAUGCAUAGUGGUAGAAGAGCGUUCGUAUUGCAUUGAAGGUAUAUCGGUAAGAAGUGCUGGAGCGAUGCGAAGUGAGCAUGCAGGAAUGAGUAGCGAUAAAAGUGGUGAGAAUCCACUUCGCCGAAAGUCUAAGGUUUCCUACGCGAUGCUCGUCAUCGUAGGGUUAGUCGGGUCCUAAGACAAGUCAGAAAUGGGUAGUCGAUGGAAAAUGGGUUAAUAUUCCCAUACCAACAUAAGUGUGCGAUGGGGGGACGCAUAAGGCUAAAUGGCGUUAGCUGAUGGAAUAGCUAAUUUAAAAGUGUAGAUUGAAGGAGUGGCAAAUCCGCCUUUGUAUUUGAAACUUGAAUAGCUUGUUGCGACCUUCGGGUCAAGAUAAGUGCCAUUGAUGCCAUCGUGCCAAGAAAAGCCUCUAAGUUUAACUUAUGUUGCCCGUACCGCAAACCGACACAGGUAGAUAGGAUGAGUAUUCUAAGGCGCGUGAAAGAACUCUCUUUAAGGAACUCUGCAAACUAGCACCGUAAGUUCGCGAUAAGGUGUGCCACAGAAAUGUGGUCUCAGCAAAGAGUCCCUCCCGACUGUUUACCAAAAACACAGCACUUUGCAAACUCGUAAGAGGAAGUAUAAGGUGUGACGCCUGCCCGGUGCUCGAAGGUUAAGAGGAUUAGUUAGACGCAAGUUAAAGCUUUGAAUUGAAGCCCGAGUAAACGGCGGCCGUAACUAUAACGGUCCUAAGGUAGCGAAAUUCCUUGUCGGUUAAAUACCGACCUGCAUGAAUGGCGUAACGAGAUGGGAGCUGUCUCAAAGAGUGAUUCAGUGAAAUUGUAGUGGAGGUGAAAAUUCCUCCUACCCGCGGCAAGACGGAGAGACCCCGUGGACCUUUACUACAGCUUGGCACUGCCGAUGGGAGCAUUAUGCGCAGGAUAGGUGGGAGGCUUUGAAAUCUUUACUCCGGUGGAGAUGGAGCCAUCGUUGAGAUACCACCCUUAAUGCUUCUAUUUGCUAACUAGCUUAUGUCAUCCAUAAGUAGGACAAUGCCUGGUGGGUAGUUUGACUGGGGCGGUCGCCUCCUAAAAAGUAACGGAGGCUUGCAAAGGUUGGCUCAUUGCGGUUGGAAAUCGCAAGCAGAGUGUAAUGGCAUAAGCCAGCUUAACUGUAAGACAAACAAGUCGAGCAGAGACGAAAGUCGGUCAUAGUGAUCCGGUGAUUCUGUGUGGAAGGGUCAUCGCUCAAAGGAUAAAAGGUACCCCGGGGAUAACAGGCUGAUCUCCCCCAAGAGCUCACAUCGACGGGGAGGUUUGGCACCUCGAUGUCGGCUCAUCGCAUCCUGGGGCUGGAGCAGGUCCCAAGGGUAUGGCUGUUCGCCAUUUAAAGCGGUACGCGAGCUGGGUUCAGAACGUCGUGAGACAGUUCGGUCCCUAUCUGCCGUGGGCGUAGGAGAGUUGAGGAGAGCUGUCCCUAGUACGAGAGGACCGGGAUGGACAUGCCACUGGUGUAUCUGUUGUUCUGCCAAGAGCAUCGCAGAGUAGCUACGCAUGGUAGUGAUAACCGCUGAAAGCAUCUAAGCGGGAAGCCAACUCCAAGAUUAACUCUCCCUAAGGUCGCAGCAAGACUAGCUGCUUGAUAGGGUAGAUGUGUAAGCAUAGUAAUAUGUUUAGCUGACUACUACUAAUAGACCUUGUGGCUUUUUGAUUU